RNAcentral lists this ribosomal RNA (450 nucleotides) under uncultured bacterium. Its description in RNAcentral is "partial 16S ribosomal RNA". It matches the Rfam family "Bacterial small subunit ribosomal RNA", at positions 338 to 795 of the family's 1533-position model. The record is from RNAcentral.
CCUACGGGUGGCUGCAGUAGGGAAUAUUGGACAAUGGGCGAAAGCCUGAUCCAGCCAUGCCGCGUGAUAGAUGAAGGCCCUCUGGGUUGUAAAUAUCUUUUAUCUGGGAAGAAACAAUCUUAUUCUUAAGAUCUUGACGGUACCAGAGGAAUAAGCACCGGCUAACUCCGUGCCAGCAGCCGCGGUAAUACGGAGGGUGCAAGCGUUAUCCGGAUUCAAGGGUUUGAAAGCGUGCUUAGAAGUGCUGAUUGAAAGCUCCGGGCUUAACUUGGGAACUGCCAUUGAUACUGCCAGUCUUGAAUGUCGUAGAGGUAAGCGGAAUGUUGCAUGUAGCGGUGAAAUGCUUAGAUAUGUUACAGAACACCAAUUGCGAAGGCAGCUUACUAUGCGAUGAUUGACGCUGAGGCACGAAAGCGUGGGGAGCAAACAGGAUUAGAUACCCGGGUAGUC